Molecule: ribosomal RNA, 441 nt
Filed under: uncultured bacterium
Lineage: Bacteria
Description: partial 16S ribosomal RNA
Rfam family: Bacterial small subunit ribosomal RNA
Source: RNAcentral
CCUACGGGAGGCUGCAGUGAGGAAUAUUGCACAAUGGAGGCAACCCUGAUGCAGCCAUGCCGCGUGAAGGAAGACGGUUUUAGGAUUGUAAACUUCUGUUCUUAGUGAAGAAUACUGACGGUAGCUAAGGAGCAAGACACGGCUAACUACGUGCCAGCAGCCGCGGUAAUACGUAGGUGGCAAGCGUUGUCCGGAUUUACUGGGUGUAAAGGGAGCGCAGGCGGGAAGCCAAGUCAGCUGUGAAAACGACGGGCUUAACUUGUAGACUGCAGUUGAAACUGGUUGUCUAGAGUGAAGUAGAGGUAGGCGGAAUGCCGAGUGUAGCGGUGAAAUGCGUAGAUAUUCUGAAGAACACCGGUUGCGAAGGCAGCCUACUGGGCUUUUACUGACGUUGAGGCACGAAAGUGUGGGGAGCAAACAGGAUUAGAUACCCCAGUAGUC